GUGGCUCAGUGGUUAAGAGCACUGGUUGAUCCUCCAGAUGGUAUGGGUUCAAUUCCUAUAAGCCACA
This 67-nucleotide transfer RNA is filed under the name Cricetulus griseus (Chinese hamster). It matches the Rfam family "tRNA". Rfam says of the family: Transfer RNA (tRNA) molecules are approximately 80 nucleotides in length. The record is from Rfam by way of RNAcentral. Lineage: Eukaryota; Metazoa; Chordata; Mammalia; Rodentia; Cricetidae.